ACGUACACUCCUACGGGAGGCAGCAGUGGGGAAUUUUGGACAAUGGGCGAAAGCCUGAUCCAGCCAUGCCGCGUGCAGGAUGAAGGCCUUCGGGUUGUAAACUGCUUUUGUACGGAACGAAACGGCCUUUUCUAAUAAAGAGGGCUAAUGACGGUACCGUAAGAAUAAGCACCGGCUAACUACGUGCCAGCAGCCGCGGUAAUACGUAGGGUGCAAGCGUUAAUCGGAAUUACUGGGCGUAAAGCGUGCGCAGGCGGUUAUGUAAGACAGUUGUGAAAUCCCCGGGCUCAACCUGGGAACUGCAUCUGUGACUGCAUAGCUAGAGUACGGUAGAGGGGGAUGGAAUUCCGCGUGUAGCAGUGAAAUGCGUAGAUAUGCGGAGGAACACCGAUGGCGAAGGCAAUCCCCUGGACCUGUACUGACGCUCAUGCACGAAAGCGUGGGGAGCAAACAGGAUUAGAUACCCGGGUAGUCCCAUG
RNAcentral lists this ribosomal RNA (479 nucleotides) under uncultured organism. RNAcentral's name for it is "partial 16S ribosomal RNA". It matches the Rfam family "Bacterial small subunit ribosomal RNA", at positions 329 to 799 of the family's 1533-position model. The record is from RNAcentral.